RNAcentral lists this ribosomal RNA (506 nucleotides) under uncultured bacterium. Its description in RNAcentral is "bacterial SSU rRNA". It matches the Rfam family "Bacterial small subunit ribosomal RNA", at positions 40 to 507 of the family's 1533-position model. The record is from RNAcentral.
CGGCGUGCCUAAUACAUGCAAGUCGAACGCACUCUCGUUUAGAUUGAAGGAGCUUGCUCCUGAUUGAUAAACAUUUGAGUGAGUGGCGGACGGGUGAGUAACACGUGGGUAACCUGCCCUAAAGUGGGGGAUAACAUUUGGAAACAGAUGCUAAUACCGCAUAAAACCUAACACCGCAUGGUGUAGGGUUGAAAGAUGGUUUCGGCUAUCACUUUAGGAUGGACCCGCGGUGCAUUAGUUAGUUGGUGAGGUAAAGGCUCACCAAGACCGUGAUGCAUAGCGACCUGAGAGGGUAAUCGGCCACACUGGGACUGAGACACGGCCCAGACUCCUACGGAGGCAGCAGUAGGGAAUCUUCCACAAUGGACGAAAGUCUGAUGGAGCAACGCCGCGUGAGUGAAGAAGGUUUUCGGAUCGUAAAACUCUGUUGUUGGAGAAGAAUGUAUCUGAUAGUAACUGAUCAGGUAGUGACGGUAUCCAACCAGAAAGCCACGGCUAACUACGUG